CCCCUAGAUGUUCUGGGCCGCACGCGCGCUACACUGAACAGUUCAACAAGUCUUAACCUUGGCCGAUAGGUCUGGGUAAUCUUUGAACGCUGUUCGUGAUUGGGAUAGACCUUUGCAAUUAUGGGUCUUCAACGAGGAAUUCCUAGUAAACGCAAGUCAUCAGCUUGCAUUGAUUACGUCCCUGCCCUUUGUACACACCGCCCGUCGCACCUACCGAUUGAAUGACUCGGUGAAAUCCCCGGACUGCAGCCUUGACACCCUCGGGUGACUCGGCAGUGGAAAGCGGAUUAAACCUCGCCAUUUAGAGGAAGGUGAAGUCGUAACA
RNAcentral lists this ribosomal RNA (325 nucleotides) under uncultured eukaryote. RNAcentral describes it as "partial 18S ribosomal RNA". It matches the Rfam family "Eukaryotic small subunit ribosomal RNA", at positions 1470 to 1796 of the family's 1831-position model. The record is from RNAcentral.